CUUCGGCUCACCAAGAACGCNCCGAAGACUGCAGCUNAGUUUANAGGGGAGUAAAUUCCAGGUGNGGGGUAAAUCUGAGAUAUCUGGAGAAUACCGGUGGCAAGGCGAACUCCUGGCAUAAACUGACGCUGAGGUGCGAAAGCGUGGGGAGCNACAGGAUUAGAUACCCUGGUAGUCCACGCUGUAAACGAAUGUGCACUAGGUGUUGGAUGGUUACAUUCAGUGCCGUAGCAAACGUGUUAAGUGCACCGCCUGGGGAGUAUGCUCGCAAGGGUGAAACUCAAAGGAAUUGACGGGGGCCCGCACAAGCGGUGGAGCAUGUGGUUUAAUUCGAUGAUACGCGAGAAACCUUACCAGGGCUUGACAUAUACUGGACGACGUUAGAGAUAACGUUUCUGCCUUGCAGUCAGUAUACAGGUGCUGCAUGGCUGUCGUCAGCUCGUGCUGUGAGUGUUGGUUAGUCCGCACGAGCGCACCCCUUUUUGCUGUUGCAAAUGUAUGAUGGGACUCAACAGACUGCCGUGACAACCGGAGAAGUGGGACGACUCAGNAUCUGGCCUAUGUUCUGGCUCCACGUGCUCAUGCAGNCAAGCGA
RNAcentral lists this ribosomal RNA (595 nucleotides) under uncultured spirochete. RNAcentral's name for it is "bacterial SSU rRNA". It matches the Rfam family "Bacterial small subunit ribosomal RNA", at positions 601 to 1243 of the family's 1533-position model. The record is from RNAcentral. Lineage: Bacteria; Pseudomonadati; Spirochaetota; Spirochaetia; Spirochaetales.